Molecule: unclassified non-coding RNA, 441 nt
Filed under: Ericameria pinifolia
Lineage: Eukaryota; Viridiplantae; Streptophyta; Magnoliopsida; Asterales; Asteraceae
Description: partial external transcribed spacer
Source: RNAcentral
CAUGAGUGGUGUUUGGUUUGAUACGGGUGGUCGGCUCCCUGCUUGAGCAGGCACGGCCACGUGUGCAUUCCUUUUCAGUUGUCCGGCAAGACUUGUAUUGUCUUGAUCGUAUAAGUGGGUUUCUUGUGUUGCAUACCUGAUCAAUGGCAUCGUUUUGAUCAAAAGUGUAUCUUUUUCGUCUGGCAAUGCACCCGCAUUGUCGGAUGAACCGGGCAGCAUCCUCUUUGAUCCAUAAAGUUGACGUGCAUUCGUUGAUUGUUUGGCCCGUUGAGGAUGGCUUGGUCUCUUGGAUAUGGAAGCCAAAGUGGGCAUGGGUUCGUAAGAUCCCUUUACUGCCCUCAUUGAGCGUUCUCGCUUCUCUUAUACGACUGCCUUUCACGUAUGGCACGUCCCAGCGUGUUUGGCUACGUCGAAGAGGAAUGCUACCUGGUUGAUCCUGCC